GGGCCUUGUACACACCGCCCGUCACACCAUGGGAGUUGGUUUUACCCGAAGGCGCUGUGCUAACCGCAAGGAGGCAGGCGACCACGGUAGGGUCAGCGACUGGGGUGAAGUCGUAACAAGGUAGCCGUAGGGGAACCUGCGGCUGGAUCACCUCCUU
Molecule: ribosomal RNA, 157 nt
Filed under: Brucella anthropi
Lineage: Bacteria; Pseudomonadati; Pseudomonadota; Alphaproteobacteria; Hyphomicrobiales; Brucellaceae
Also listed under: 1 other name
Description: Ochrobactrum anthropi partial 16S ribosomal RNA
Rfam family: Bacterial small subunit ribosomal RNA
Source: RNAcentral